This 547-nucleotide ribosomal RNA is filed under the name uncultured bacterium. Its description in RNAcentral is "bacterial SSU rRNA". It matches the Rfam family "Bacterial small subunit ribosomal RNA", at positions 355 to 896 of the family's 1533-position model. The record is from RNAcentral.
UGGGGAAUAUUGCGCAAUGGGGGGAACCCUNNNGCAGCCAUGCCGCGUGAAUGAAGAAGGCCUUCGGGUUGUAAAGUUCUUUCGGUAUUGAGGAAGGUUGAUGUGUUAAUAGCACAUCAAAUUGACGUUAAAUACAGAAGAAGCACCGGCUAACUCCGUGCCAGCAGCCGCGGUAAUACGGAGGGUGCGAGCGUUAAUCGGAAUAACUGGGCGUAAAGGGCACGCAGGCGGUUAUUUAAGUGAGGUGUGAAAGCCCUGGGCUUAACCUAGGAAUUGCAUUUCAGACUGGGUAACUAGAGUACUUUAGGGAGGGGUAGAAUUCCACGUGUAGCGGUGAAAUGCGUAGAGAUGUGGAGGAAUACCGAAGGCGAAGGCAGCCCCUUGGGAAUGUACUGACGCUCAUGUGCGAAAGCGUGGGGAGCAAACAGGAUUAGAUACCCUGGUAGUCCACGCUGUAAACGCUGUCGAUUUGGGGGUUGGGGUUUAACUCUGGCGCCCGUAGCUAACGUGAUAAAUCGACCGCCUGGGGAGUACGGCCGCAAGGUUA